This 492-nucleotide ribosomal RNA is filed under the name uncultured bacterium. RNAcentral describes it as "partial 16S ribosomal RNA". It matches the Rfam family "Bacterial small subunit ribosomal RNA", at positions 29 to 507 of the family's 1533-position model. The record is from RNAcentral.
AGUGAACGCUGGCGGUAGGCCUAACACAUGCAAGUCGAACGGCAGCACAGUAAGAGCUUGCUCUUACGGGUGGCGAGUGGCGGACGGGUGAGGAAUACAUCGGAAUCUACUUUUUCGUGGGGGAUAACGUAGGGAAACUUACGCUAAUACCGCAUACGACCUACGGGUGAAAGCAGGGGAUCUUCGGACCUUGCGCGAUUGAAUGAGCCGAUGUCGGAUUAGCUAGUUGGCGGGGUAAAGGCCCACCAAGGCGACGAUCCGUAGCUGGUCUGAGAGGAUGAUCAGCCACACUGGAACUGAGACACGGUCCAGACUCCUACGGGAGGAAGCAGUGGGGAAUAUUGGACGAUGGGCGAAAGCCUGAUCCAGCCAUACCGCGUGGGUGAAGAAGGACUUCGGGUUGUAAAGCCCUUUUGUUGGGAAAGAAAAGCAGCAGGUUAAUACCCCGCUGUUAUGACGGUACCCAAAGAAUAAGCACCGGCUAACUUCGUG